UGGGGAAUUUUGGGCAAUGGGCGAAAGCCUGAUCCAGCGAUGCCGCGUGAGUGAAGAAGGCCUUCGGGUUGUAAAGCUCUUUUGUCAGGGAAGAAACGGUGAGAGCUAAUAUCUCUUGCUAAUGACGGUACCUGAAGAAUAAGCACCGGCUAACUACGUGCCAGCAGCCGCGGUAAUACGUAGGGUGCAAGCGUUAAUCGGAAUUACUGGGCGUAAAGCGUGCGCAGGCGGUUAUGCAAGACAGAGGUGAAAUCCCCGGGCUCAACCUGGGAACUGCCUUUGUGACUGCAUAGCUAGAGUACGGUAGAGGGGGAUGGAAUUCCGCGUGUAGCAGUGAAAUGCGUAGAUAUGUGGAGGAACACCGAUGGCGAAGGCAGCCCCCUGGGUCAAGAUUGACACUCAUGCACGAAAGCGUGGGGAGCAAACA
Molecule: ribosomal RNA, 427 nt
Filed under: uncultured bacterium
Lineage: Bacteria
Description: bacterial SSU rRNA
Rfam family: Bacterial small subunit ribosomal RNA
Source: RNAcentral